This 780-nucleotide long non-coding RNA is filed under the name Arabidopsis thaliana (thale cress). Its description in RNAcentral is "long non-coding RNA (ATHA_LNC000193)". Lineage: Eukaryota; Viridiplantae; Streptophyta; Magnoliopsida; Brassicales; Brassicaceae. The record is from RNAcentral.
GUGUUUAAAAGACGAGAUUUCAUAUACGAAUCAGAGAACCAAAUACAAUAAUUUAGGCUCAAGAAGCGGUAAAUCAACAGAAACUGAUUUUCAAAUUCCACAAGAGGUUCAACAGAAAUAACCUCAAAUGACUUUUUUAUUUGGGCGUGUUUUUAAAAUACUCAAUUCUAAAAAACAAAACCCAAUCAAAAUCAAAACACAAAUCCAAAAGGAAAAUGAAGAAAAAACACUUAUAAUCCGAUAAUGUCAAGUAGAAAAACGAAAAAUCCCUAGAAAUAUAUCCAGGAAGAUGACAAACGUCACAAUUCAACCCGUGGACGAUGCUCAGUACUUGUAAUCCUUCACGUGAAGGCUCUCAGCUGCUCCAUCACCAAGCUUAGCGUCACCCUUGUAGGUUCCGAGUGUGGCUUCAGAGUUAGCCUUGCACCUCACAUACAACGCCUCUUGAGCUGCCUUGACAUUCUCCUCUUUACCUGCCCAUGUCUUCAAGGUAGACUGCUGCAACGCACGUCCGAAUGAGAAAGACAAUGACCAUGGCUUCUUGGUCUUCAACUGGUUCAUGGCGUUCAAGUUCCUGGUAGCUUCUUCCUCGCUCUGUCCUCCAGAUAAGAAGACAAUGGCUGGAACAGCUGCUGGGACGGUUCUCUGAAGGGCACGGACGGUGUGCUCAGCGAUGACUUCAGGUGAAACCUUGGGGCUGUCAGAUCCGGGAGUAACCAUGUUAGGCUUCAAGAGUGUACCCUCGAGCAAGACGUGGUGGUCGCUAAGAGCCUUGUAGCA